Molecule: long non-coding RNA, 780 nt
Organism: Mus musculus (house mouse)
Lineage: Eukaryota; Metazoa; Chordata; Mammalia; Rodentia; Muridae
Product: RIKEN cDNA 4930413E20 gene
Exons: 2
Source: RefSeq, a predicted model, not a curated record
GAUCAAGCUAAAGCCAUCUGCUCUGGAAACACAUGAUUUAUGGCCGGAAGAAUCUUGACGGGCCCAGGGCAAGCAUGUAGAUGAGGUCCUUCUAUUGACAUAGGCCUGAGUCCCUUUGAGGGGACACCUACCUUGGUCCUCAAGCUGAUGACAGCAGAGUCCCUGGGGGACUGUCGCCUGUCUCUAAUGCAACAGGGACUGGACUCUUCUAGAAUGUUCAAAUACUGAAGCUGGGUCACUCAGAACUUAAAGCUGUAACUGACAGGCAGACUCUCUGUGGGCAUCUGGAAAGGCUGGCAAAGGAGACGAUGCUGGUGAAAUAGGUAGCUCCUUUCUGUUGUGAAUGUAUGCCCACCACAGACGCCUUCGGAGCCUCAGCAGGACAUCUCUGGAUUGCAUCAGAGCCUUUACCAACAUCUCUUGCCAUCUUACUGUUGGAGAAUGGAGGACCAUCUAGAUCCGGCAACGGAGUCAAGGCACCUCAGAGGUUCUGGUGACUCAGGAAGGACCACACAUCUCAGCAGUGGGAGAGCACAGGGGCAGUUUGCCUCCAGCACUGUCUGCUAGACUUUUUGCUCUUAGCUAUUUCAAAGCUGAGAUCAUCUCAUUCCUGGGUCUCAAGAGGACAAAGCUAAUGUAGACAUUUAAAGUCGUUUUUCAAGAUUAGAAUGAGAGCCAUAGAGAGCUGGGCUUGGUGGUACUGUAAUCCUAGCUCUUGGAGACUGAGGCUGUCACAUAGUGAGUUCUAAGCCAGCCUGGGUUAUAAAGUGUCUCAAGAAA